This 321-nucleotide ribosomal RNA is filed under the name Triticum aestivum (bread wheat). RNAcentral describes it as "partial small subunit ribosomal RNA". Lineage: Eukaryota; Viridiplantae; Streptophyta; Magnoliopsida; Poales; Poaceae. The record is from RNAcentral.
AUGACCUAUAUUGUUACUGAAACAUGGACCAUAUUGCAAUCCCAGGCCCACCGAGGACGCAGAGCGUCGCACCACAGGGUUGGCGGCUAUCAUCUCAGCAUUGUCGGAGCCGGAGCCGCCCUCACCAUAGAGGUCCUUGCCGAUGGUGACAGAGUAGACGACCAUGGGUGCGUCAGUCGCCAGGGCCUCCUCCAGCUUGCGAUGCUCGCCCUGCACACGCGUGGGGCUAGAGAGAGAGAGAGAGAGAGAGAGAGAGAGAGAGAAAGAGAAGGGAGGGGGGGUGGAAGAACGGGUUUUCGGCUUGGACCAAGUUGCGAUUGA